This 377-nucleotide ribosomal RNA is filed under the name uncultured bacterium. RNAcentral's name for it is "bacterial SSU rRNA". It matches the Rfam family "Bacterial small subunit ribosomal RNA", at positions 521 to 896 of the family's 1533-position model. The record is from RNAcentral.
UAAUACAGAGGGUGCAAGCGUUAAUCGGAAUUACUGGGCGUAAAGCGCACGUAGGUGGUUUAAUACGUUUGAUGUGAAAGCCCCGGGCUUAACCUGGGAACGGCGUUGAAGACGGUUAGACUUGAGUCGGAGAGAGGGUUGUGGAAUUUCCGGUGUAGCGGUGAAAUGCGUAGAGAUCGGAAAGAACACCAGUGGCGAAGGCGACAACCUGGCUCCAGACUGACACUGAGGGGCGAAAGCGUGGGGAGCAAACAGGAUUAGAUACCCUGGUAGUCCACGCUGUAAACGAUGAACACUGGCUGUGCGAAGACAAUUGUUUUUGCGUAGCGAAGCUAACGCGUUAAGUGUUCCGCCUGGGGAGUACGGCCGCAAGGUUA